This 2061-nucleotide unclassified non-coding RNA is filed under the name Manduca sexta (tobacco hornworm). RNAcentral describes it as "probable phosphatase phospho1, transcript variant X1". The record is from RNAcentral. Lineage: Eukaryota; Metazoa; Arthropoda; Insecta; Lepidoptera; Sphingidae.
AGCCGCGAAACGUCAACUACUGUCAAGUAACACCAAGCCAUAUCACGUAAUUUGGCGUAAUCUUCCGCACAAAAAACUUCCAAAAUUACGUCAUGUCAAAACUCUCCCUCCCUUUACUAUCUGCCUUAGGUCACUCGGGUGCCACGCUGAAAAUGACGUAAUAAGCAUGAACUUGAAAUAAUGGAACUGGAAAGAUUUUAAAAUUGUCAAUCGACAUUCGCAAAUCUGCAGUAGUCUUGCAAACGUGGGAGUGUGCGCGCGCAUUUAAAAAUGGCUUCGUUGGCUGUUUUUGAUUUUGAUCGUACAGUAGUUGAUGGUGACUCAGAUGCAACAAUAAUAAAUAGAUUGAGAGAAAAGCAACCCCCGCCAGAGUGGGAAGCCAGUAACUACGACUGGACACCUUAUAUGAGCGAUGUCUUCGAACAUGCGUACUCCGCUGGUCUCAGCCAGGCGGACAUCCUGGACAGCAUCGCGUCCAUGCGCCCGACUCCUGGGCUGGAAGAGCUCAUCAAGACCCUGGCUGCCGCGGGCUGGGAUGUCUUGAUCCUUACUGACGCCAAUACUGUUUUCGUCAAUCACUGGCUCAAGGUUCAUGGACUGCUGGAGCAUGUCACGUCCGUGGUGACCAACCGCGCCUUUUGGCAGAACGGGCGGCUGUUCAUAGAGCCUCACAUGCACCAGACCGCUUGCCCACGCUGCCCCAGCAACUUGUGCAAGUCGCUGGCGUUGGCGCAGUGGUGCGCGCAACGGCCGCCAUACAGUAAUGUGUUCUAUGCCGGUGACGGAAGGAAUGACUUCUGCCCGGCGACUAGCUUACCGCCCCACGCGACAGUAUUCCCGCGUCGCGGAUACCCGCUCGACGACUUAAUAAAAAAGACGCUAGCAUCCCCCAACCCUCAGAUCAAAGCCAAAGUGGUGCCGUGGGACGACUGCUACAGAAUAUUGCAGGAAACCUUUCCCGGUAAAACCAACAGUAUAGUUUAAUUUAUUUUUGUACUAUAGUCAGACCUGCUGGUCACGUGAUCAGAGACAAAAACAUAACCAAAUUUGUUCUUUGUCAAGAUAAUUAAUUGAAUACUUUUAUUUGGACACGAAAAUCGUAGUACUUACCGAUGGCCACUCAUGGUCACGCCAUGUCUUAUUAGAUGCUAUCUAGCCGUAAAGCUAUGUUCCGUAUAUUCAUGAUGACUAACGUUUGACUAUUGAAAGUAUUAAUAGAAUGUAAGGGAUAGGGAAAUUUUAUAUUAUUUUAAUUUAUUAAUUUGUAUCGAUACCAUAUUUUGAUGUGCAAUUAAUAAGAUCUUAAGUAGUGAAUACUUGUUGUAUUAAGUCUCGAAGAUGCAAGCUCAGGACACUUGCAUCGGAGGCAACGCUAGAUAAAAAGGUAGAAAUAGGUGUUGUGGAUCUUAUUAUGUAGCCCGCUCAUUCAUAGAAGUUAUUAAUCUAAGGACGCAGCAUUGCUGUAAUAACAAGUCUGUUUCUCAGUGCUGACGACAUACCAGCCGUCGCAGUGCGUAGUCAUAGGGCCGUUGUGAUUGGCUAAUUGAGAUACAACUCGAAUCUAGUUGGCUGUCAGAUAAACAAAGCUGAAUAAACAGCAAGCUGUCAGAUAAACAAAGCUGAGAAACAGACUUGUUAUUACAGCAAUGCUCCGUCCUUAGAUAAAUAACGUCUAUGAAUAAGGGUGUAUGUGUUUAAGUAAAUUGUCGUAUUAAAAGUUGUUGUUUGCAAAACAGGCUGUGAUGAUUUCGAUAGGAAUCUCAGAUAUACCUUUCCUUAUACACAUAUUAAUGCAAAUGUCGCAUAGCGAUCGGAUUACAGUGGGGCAAUAAUCGCUGUAGCCCGAAAUCCAUAUUAUGGAGCCAGAUUUUAUAAAUUGCACUAUUCUUGAAUUAUUCAAUUUCAAAUCGAGCCAAAAAUGAUUGUUUCUAACAAUAAUUGCAUAUUUUUAAAUCAUACGUAGACCUAUGUGUCUAGUGAACGCAAAAAAAAUUUUCGAUGUGAAAAAAAAAUCUGUUUAAUUGUCUAAAUGUACACGAAUAAAGAAAAUGUAUCUCUUUA